UACGUAGGGUGCGAGCGUUAAUCGGAAUUACUGGGCGUAAAGCGUGCGCAGGCGGUUUUGUAAGCCAGAUGUGAAAUCCCCGGGCUUAACCUGGGAAUGGCAUUUGGGACUGCAAGGCUUGAGUGCGGCAGAGGAGACUGGAAUUCCUGGUGUAGCAGUGAAAUGCGUAGAUAUCAGGAGGAAUACCGAUGGCGAAGGCAGGUCUCAGGGCUGACACUGACGCUCAUGCACGAAAGCGUGGGGAGCAAACAGG
This 253-nucleotide ribosomal RNA is filed under the name uncultured bacterium. Its description in RNAcentral is "partial 16S ribosomal RNA". It matches the Rfam family "Bacterial small subunit ribosomal RNA", at positions 524 to 776 of the family's 1533-position model. The record is from RNAcentral.